GACCGCUCUGGUGGCCUAGUGGUUACAGCGCCCACCUCAGAUGCGAGAGGUCGUGGGUUUGAUCUCCGUCUGAGUCA
Potamilus streckersoni is the source of this 77-nucleotide non-coding RNA. Lineage: Eukaryota; Metazoa; Mollusca; Bivalvia; Unionida; Unionidae. The record is from the annotation of a GenBank genome assembly.